UCAGAAAAAACCAAACUCAUCGUGAGGUGAGGACGGAAAGCCACGGGUCUUAUACCAGAACAUAAGAUAGCCGGGUUGCCUGAA
Molecule: non-coding RNA, 84 nt
Filed under: Candidatus Moduliflexus flocculans
Lineage: Bacteria; Candidatus Moduliflexota; Candidatus Moduliflexia; Candidatus Moduliflexales; Candidatus Moduliflexaceae
Description: Bacterium UASB14 c-di-GMP sequence
Rfam family: c-di-GMP-I-GGC riboswitch aptamer
Source: Rfam by way of RNAcentral